GAUAAACGCUGGCGGCGCACAUAAGACAUGCAAGUCGAACGGAAGUCGUUGUAAUGAUGUUGACAUGAACUGAGAACUUGUUCAAUGGGAUUUGAUAUUGACUUACAACAAUGGCUUUAGUGGCGGACUGGUGAGUAACACGUAAGCAACCUGCCUGUUAGAGGGGAAUAACAGCGAGAAAUCGUUGCUAAUACCGCAUAUGCCAUAAUGGAGACAUCUCCAUAGUGGGAAAGGAGCAAUCCGCUAACAGAUGGGCUUGCGCCUGAUUAGUUAGUUGGUGGGGUAACGGCCUACCAAGACGACGAUCAGUAGCCGGACUGAGAGGUUCAACGGCCACAUUGGGACUGAGAUACGGCCCAGACUCC
This 365-nucleotide ribosomal RNA is filed under the name uncultured Oscillospiraceae bacterium. Its description in RNAcentral is "bacterial SSU rRNA". It matches the Rfam family "Bacterial small subunit ribosomal RNA", at positions 28 to 339 of the family's 1533-position model. The record is from RNAcentral. Lineage: Bacteria; Bacillati; Bacillota; Clostridia; Eubacteriales; Oscillospiraceae.